UGAUCCAGCCAUGCCGCGUGAGUGAAGAAGGCCUUCGGGUUGUAAAGCUCUUUCAGACGGAAAGAAACGGUCACGGCUAAUACCCGUGACUAAUGACGGUACCGUAAGAAGAAGCACCGGCUAACUACGUGCCAGCAGCCGCGGUAAUACGUAGGGUGCGAGCGUUAAUCGGAAUUACUGGGCGUAAAGCGUGCGCAGGCGGUUUGGUAAGACAGACGUGAAAUCCCCGGGCUUAACCUGGGAACUGCGUUUGUGACUGUCAGACUAGAGUGUAGCAGAGGGGGGUAGAAUUCCACGUGUAGCAGUGAAAUGCGUAGAUAUGUGGAGGAAUACCAAUGGCGAAGGCAGCCCCCUGGGUUAACACUGACGCUCAUGCACGAAAGCGUGGGGAGCAAACAGGAUUAGAUACCCUGGUAGUCCACGCCCUAAACGAUGUCAACUAGGUGUUGGGGAAGAGAUUCUUUAGUACCGCAGCUAACGCGUGAAGUUGACCGCCUGGGGAGUACGGUCGCAAGAUUAAAACUCAAAGGAAUUGA
This 536-nucleotide ribosomal RNA is filed under the name uncultured bacterium. RNAcentral describes it as "bacterial SSU rRNA". It matches the Rfam family "Bacterial small subunit ribosomal RNA", at positions 384 to 913 of the family's 1533-position model. The record is from RNAcentral.